CAGUAGCCACGGGAAUACGUAGGUGGCAAGCGUUGUCCGGAAUUAUUGGGCGUAAAGCGCACGUAGGCUGCUUUGUAAGUCAGAGGUGAAAGCCCGGGGCUCAACCCCGGAUGUGCCUUUGAGACUGCAGAGCUAGAAUCGCGGAGAGGUGAGUGGAAUUCCGAGUGUAGAGGUGAAAUUCGUAGAUAUUCGCAAGAACACCAGUGGCGAAGGCGGCUCACUGGCCCGGUACUGACGCUGAGGUGCGAAAGCGUGGGGAGCAGACAGGAUUAGAUACCCCCGUAGUCCCUGUCUCUUAUAC
This 301-nucleotide ribosomal RNA is filed under the name uncultured bacterium. Its description in RNAcentral is "partial 16S ribosomal RNA". It matches the Rfam family "Bacterial small subunit ribosomal RNA", at positions 509 to 807 of the family's 1533-position model. The record is from RNAcentral.